Pseudomonas fluorescens HK44 is the source of this 172-nucleotide non-coding RNA. NCBI's taxonomy places the organism in Bacteria, Pseudomonadati, Pseudomonadota, Gammaproteobacteria, Pseudomonadales, Pseudomonadaceae. The record is from Rfam.
AUGAGGGUGACCGAGUGUGGGGAGGAAGCGUGAAUCGAAGCCAUGAGCCGAUGUACAAGAACCGGAUAAAAGGCGCGGCCGAUCAGGGCGAGCGGGCACAAAACCGCGAAGCUCUUGUGGUCAAGGAUCAGGCUGUGUAAAUCCGGCGGUUGUGUGGUGAAGGAUUGCGUUC